UUUCCGGUUGAUCCUGCCGCCGGCCACCGCUAUCAAGUUCCGACUAAGCCAUGCGAGUCAAGGUAUCGUAAGAUGCCGGCAAACUGCUCAGUAACACGUGGAUAAUCUAACCUUGAGUAAGGGAUAACCUCGGGAAACUGAGGAUAAUACCUUAUAAUUGCUUAAAACUGGAAUGUUUAAGCAAUAAAAGUUCCGACGCUCAAGGAUGAGUCUGCGACCUAUCAGGUAGUAGGUGGUGUAAUGGACCACCUAGCCUCAGACGGGUACGGGCCCUGGGAGGGGUAGCCCGGAGAUGGACUCUGAGACAUCAGUCCAGGCCCUACGGGGCGCAGCAGGCGCGAACACUGUGCAAUGCGCGAAAGCGCGACACGGGGAGCUUGAGUGUCUUGGCAUAGCCAAGACUUUUCUCAUUCCUAAAAAGCAUGAGGAAUAAGUGCUGGGUAAGACGGGUGCCAGCCGCCGCGGUAACACCCGCAGCACGAGUAGUGGUCACUUUUAUUGAGCCUAAAGCGUUCGUAGCCGGUUUUGUAAAUCUUCAGAUAAAGCCUGAAGCUUAACUCCAGAAAGUCUGAAGAGACUGCAAGACUUGAGAUCGGGUGAGGUUAAACGUACUUUCAGGGUAGGGGUAAAAUCCUGUAAUCCCGGAAGGACGACCAGUGGCGAAAGCGUUUAACUAGAACGAAUCUGACGGUAAGGAACGAAGGCUAGGGUAGCAAACCGGAUUAGAUACCCGGGUAGUCCUAGCUGUAAACACUGCCCAUUUGAUGUUGCUUUUCCGUUGAGGGAAGGCAGUGUCGGAGCGAAGGUGUUAAAUGGGCCGCUUGGGAAGUAUGGUCGCAAGACUGAAACUUAAAGGAAUUGGCGGGGGAGCACCGCAACGGGAGGAAUGUGCGGUUUAAUUGGAUUCAACGCCGGA
RNAcentral lists this ribosomal RNA (916 nucleotides) under uncultured archaeon. RNAcentral describes it as "bacterial SSU rRNA". It matches the Rfam family "Archaeal small subunit ribosomal RNA", at positions 1 to 922 of the family's 1478-position model. The record is from RNAcentral.